AAAAUGACUCUCGACAACGGAUAUCUCGGCUCUCGCAUCGAUGAAGAACGUAGCAAAAUGCGAUACUUGGUGUGAAUUGCAGAAUCCCGUGAACCAUCGAGUCUUUGAACGCGAGUUGCGCCUGAAGCCAUUAGGUUGAGGGCACGUCUGCCCGGGAGUCUCGC
Molecule: ribosomal RNA, 164 nt
Filed under: Impatiens teitensis
Lineage: Eukaryota; Viridiplantae; Streptophyta; Magnoliopsida; Ericales; Balsaminaceae
Description: 5.8S ribosomal RNA
Rfam family: 5.8S ribosomal RNA
About the family: 5.8S ribosomal RNA (5.8S rRNA) is a component of the large subunit of the eukaryotic ribosome. It is transcribed by RNA polymerase I as part of the 45S precursor that also contains 18S and 28S rRNA.
Source: RNAcentral